UCCAAUCAUGAAACUACACCA
Molecule: non-coding RNA, 21 nt
Filed under: Caenorhabditis elegans
Lineage: Eukaryota; Metazoa; Nematoda; Chromadorea; Rhabditida; Rhabditidae
Source: RNAcentral